GUAGUGCAUUAAUCGGUAGUUCUCAAACUUUUAUUAAGGUAGUCUACCCACUUCUUUUUUUUUUCUUUGCAACAGACCUAGGGUCCAAAUUCAUGGAAUUCCUGAGAAGGGUGGCUGGGCCAAAUUUGAGUGAUCGCCGUUGUACCCUGGCAUAUGGGGCUGCAGGGGCACUCAGGUUUGGCCCAGUUGCCCUCUGAUGCUGCCAAUGUGUACCUAGUCACAACACACAGUGGCACAUUGGCCAAUGGAGUUCAUGCCCAGGGGCCCCAGAAAAAUGGGUUCCCCAGCAGACAUCCAUUGCUGGGAGCGAAAGCCUGAAGCCCUGGCAGAAGAGCUGGGUGACCCUGGCUGCAGCCCUGGGACUGGAGGAGUUCUUGCUCCCUGCUGCAGCCUCAGGGCUGUGGGAGCUCUCAGUCCCAGCUGUGGUGCUGGGGCAUGGUGUGUGUGUUGCGGGGGGGGACAGAGCUUCUCUGGUCUUGGGGCUGUAGGGGUGGGGAGAAAGGAGCAAACCGGUUGCAGUGCUGCAGUGGGUAGGGUGGGGUGGAAUGGAGUGGGACCGUGGAUGGAACGGGUGGGGCUGUAGGGGAAGGGGUGGAAAAGGGUGAGGCUACAGGUGGGGCCAUAGGUGGAAGGGAUGGAACGUGGGUGGAAUCGCAGGCGGAAGGAGUGGAGAGGCCCCCCCCCCACUUGCUCUAGCCCAUGCCCCCCUGAAACUUUAAUCCAUCUCUGGCAACGCUUGGAGCAGGAAGCUGGCCUGGCCCCAUAUGACAGGAGCCACUGCUGUAGCAUGAGUGCAGGGCGGGCUUGCUCUCCUGCCAACCCAUUCCCCACACUAGUCCCAGAGCCCACCAUUUAGGAAACACUGUGUUAAGUGACCUGACUAACAUCAGUUAUGUGGUUUGUUCUUUCAUCCUCUGCCCACGGUGUGCAGCGGAGUGUUGUUUCAUUAGGGUUGUUUUUUUGAAAUAAAUGUUGCAACGUGUUUGUUAGAGAAGGCAGGUCAAAGACAUGCUUUGCAUGUCAAGCAAAAGGUGAUGAGGUCUGUGAUGGUCCUUACUUUCUGUGGGAGUUCAUUCCACAGUCUUGGCCUGGCCUCUGUCAAAGCUGCCUCCUGCACAGACAAGCUUCACUCUUAUUGUAGAGAGUUCCAUUGUGUCAGAGGAGUGGAGUUGUUGGCCAUGGUUUUCAUCUCAGAACUUUAGGAGCAUCUUUUAGAUAUGCUGGCCCUAGGCCAUUGAGCACCUUAAAGAUAAGCACCAACACCCUGUACUUGACUUGAUAGGCCUCCCUACAGCCCUGUGAAGUAGAUGAAGAUUCUGAUCCCAUUCUAACAGGGGACACCAAGGUACAGAGAGGGGAAAUGACUGUCUAAGGUCAUAUAAUAACCCUGUGGCAGAGCUGGGAAUACAACUUAGUAAGUCCGACUCCUAGUUCCUCAUUCUAAUGUUUAGGACCUGCUCCCUGAGAUCAGUGUGUUGUCAUGUGGGUAAAAGCAGUUUCAGAGUAACUUGAGGGUGAUAAACAGUGCAUUAGUAAAAUAUGUUGGUUGUGGUAACUAAGGGCUUUCAUAUAUUUGUGCACUAUGGUGCACCCUGACUUUGAAAACAAGUGCUGUGUACACUCCAAACACUAGCCUCUCUAGGCUCAAGCCCUAGUUGGGUUUCCAACAUACACACAUCUUUUAAUUGAGGAAUCUUUAUAUUUUUAAGCAGGCACUUAUCUCCUUGAUAUACAAGUGCUGUAUCUUUAGCUACUUCCUAAUAAUCUUUACUAGAACUGGCAGGGAGGAAAGUGUAGAAAUACCCUAGGUACAAGUCUUAGUGGUUUAGUUAGAAAAAGCCCAGGCCCCUAGGAGAGCAGUCCAGCAAGAAGGCACAAAGGUAUCUUUGCUUUCCAGAGUUCAUCAGAUACCCGGUAUGCCCCCUGAGUCUAAACGUCUUGGGCAAGAAGGCAAUUUUAGUCUCUCAGACUCACAAGGCUGGGCUUCCUGCCACCUCUUAAAGGUUGCUAACUCUUACGAUUUUAUCACAAGUCUUAUGAUAUUUGGUAUUUUUCUUAAAGCUCCAGUUCCUGGAUUCAUGUGACUCAAUUUUAUUUUUUUGUAAAGUAAGUUUUUUAGCCCACAGGAUUAUGGGGAAAAACAGGGAAUGUGACCAGAAGGCAAAUAACAUUACUUACAGUUUAUUUUAAUUUUGUGAUUUUUCUUUUUUAAGCUGGUCAUGAUUUGGGGAAGGGGUUGUCAUGAUUUUUGAAUGCAUGGUACUGGCAGUACUGCCUCUGGUGUUGUGGGUGUCACUUGGUAGUCAGUGUGGGAGCCUUUGUGUGUUGGAGACAUGGAUCAUCAUUGCUGCUGUGGGUAGCAGACUAUAUUUCUGUCUCCUUGCCCAGUGUGUGUUUGUUUCUCCUGCUAUCACUUUAUUUCCUGCUCUCUCUCAUUUACUGAUUGCUCAGCUCCCCACCCAACUGUUACAGCUAGUCUUUCCCCAGCACUAACCAGCAUUAUCUGACUGCUUGUACUGCCUUCCUUCGGGUGUGCUUCCCUUUUCUCAGUCUUGCUCUGAGACAGCUACUGGCCACUUCCCCCAGCUCUUCAGGGUUGCUUCUGACGCCAGUGCUUCUGUGCUAUCCUGUGGCCAUGCAUCAGGCCCUGCUACCUCAAAUUUUUUUAUGUGCCACAUCCUGUCUGCUGCUCAGUGCCUUCUAUCAAGAUCCACUGAUAACAGUGGAUCUUGCAGUGCUCUUUAUUGGCCAGCUGCUGGUUUAGGGCCCUACCCUGCUCUCCUGGUAGGGCAGCCAAGUAUAAUGCACAUUUCACAGCCUCAUUGUGUCCCUGCUGCUCCAUAGGAAUGUCACUCAGAAGAGACACAAGGUGGGCGAGGGCAUGUCUUUUACUGGACCAACGUCUGUUGGUGAGAUAAAUGAGUCCGAGCUACACAGCUCUUCUACAGCUCCCACCUGAUCAGCAAUUCCUCUUGUCCACUAGAGGCAUUGCUGCCUCCUCUGUCACUACUCCCUGCUUCCCCUGAGGGCUCCUAGACUAGGGCAGUUGGGGAGAGUUGGGAGGAGAUGAUAGAAGCAAGAGGCGGGGAGAGAGCAUUCGUAUCUGGUCUUGAUGGAGCCAAACUUGCCUUGACCCCAGCUAGCUGUCUUGGGCACCUCCAUGCCACCAGCCCACCUAGCCUACCACACCCCCAAACAGCUGCUGCAGCCACCUUCCUACCGCAUCACCAAACCUCCAGGCAGUCUCUUUUUACCACACCACCCUCAGCCAGCUGCUUCAGGUAGCCUCUUCCUAUCACCUCACCAAACAACUCCCAGCUCUUUCCCACAGGCAGCCUCUUCCUGCCACCGUACCAGACAGUCCCCAGUCAGCUGCCCAAAGUAGCCCCCUCCCCUCCGACAACCCUAGCUGAGGUGACCAGGUGUCUGGUUUUCAACCAUAACACCCAGUUGAAAAGGGAUCCUGGUGGCUAUGGUCAGCACUGCUGACCAGGCCAUUGACUGUCCGUGUGGCACCACGCAGCGGGAUGCGCAGGCUCCCUGAUAACCCCGUGCUGUGCAGCUCCUGGGAAGCAGCCAGCAUGUCCUCCCUCUGGGUCCUAUGCAUAGGGGCAAGCCAGGGGCUCAGCACAGUGGCCCUCCCCAACAGCCAAUGGGAGCUGUGGCUGCCCCUACAGCUCCCAUUGGCUGGACAUGGUGCUGUUUUCGGGAGCUGCCCCAGCCUUGAUCCUCCUCUUGCCCUCCAAACCCAUUUAUCUCAGCCUGGAGCACCCUCCUGAACCCCAAACUCCUCAGCCCCACCCCAGAGCCUGCACCCCUAUCUGGGGCCCUCACUUCCCAGCCCAGAACCCCCAGCCCCCUCCUGCACUCUGAACCCCUCAGCCUGGAGCCCACACCCCCAGCUGGAGCCCUCACUCUCUCUUGCACUCCAGCUCCCUGAGCGAGCCCAGUGAAAAUGAAUAAGUGAAGGUGAUAACAAUGAUCACAAACUCAGUUUUGGCCAUGUUUAGGAGCUCUGUUUAUUUUGGUCUUAGAUGUCACACACCACCUCCAUACUGAUGCACAUAACAAAAUUCAUUCCGCACAUGUGGGAAAAAUUAGAACACUGCUCAUAAGGCAUACCUUAUGCAAAGAUUAUUACAGUAGUGUAUAGGGUGUGAACACAAGUGUGUUCUCCCAUAUUUUCUCUGUCUUUGCAGCUCCCUUCUGGGAUUAAAGAACAAUAUUUCAUUUUACUACAGGUUACAAUAUUAACUGCCUUAGACAUAGUUAAGACAUCAUUUCCGAACAGCAUUUCUGUUGGAAUACAACCUAGCACGCCAACUUUUAAGAUACCUCUGAACCUUUCCACUCCAAAUGCACCUUCACCAAAGGCACAGGCAUUUUAUAUCUUCCCAGUGCCAGGAGUUCUACUUCCUGGCCAGGUAACAUCACUGUUUCUUUGGCCAUGCUUUCCAUGACCAGAAAAAUCUGGGCAUCAGUGUCCGUCCUUCCUAUGCAUUCUUUGCCAUUCACUGUGGCAACUUUAAUAAAUUCCACAUCCACCUCCUCUGGGUCAGAUCUCACAAACGUAAUCAGGGGCCCUGCAGGCGCCUCUAGGUUAAUGAAAAGUGUGUUAAACUGGGUUGGAUGGGAUGAGCAUUUAUAUUUUUAGUUUAGGGCAGUGUCUCUCCAUCUUUACAGACUACUGUAUCCUUUUCAGGAGUAUUUUCUAUUUUGUCUUGUGCACCCCAAGUGUACCUUGUGUACCUCAAGUUUCACCUCACUUAAAAACUACUUCCUUACAAAAUGAGACAUAAGAAUACAAAAGUAUCACAGCACACUAUUACUGAAAAACUGCUGACUUACUCAUUUUUACCAUAUAAUUAUAAAUUGAUUGGAAUAUAAAUAUUGUAGUGACAUUUCAGUGUAUAGUAUAUAGAGCAGUAUAAACAACUCGUAUGAAAUUGUAGUUUGUACUGACUUUGCUAGUGCUUUUUAUGUAGCCUGUUGUAAAAGUAGGUAAAUGUCUAGCGGAGUUGAUGUACCCCAGGGAUACACACUCCUGGCUGAGAACCACUGAUUUAGAGCAAUUAUUUCUCAUGUGCUCAGUGGAGUCACACAGAUAACACCUUCUUGCACUGUUGUCUUGUGCCUGUGCUCUCAACUAUCCUCCUUUUCCCCAGGGAUGAAAUGGGUUCCCCCUUUACCCUGUGCUUCUGCCCCUCUUUCUUUAUCUUACACUAGUAGACACUUUGGCCUGCACAAAGAAAUCAGCCAGAUCUGCUACUUCCUGCACAGAGACACAUAAAACAAGAUUUAUCCUGGAUUACAUCUCUGAUCUCCUGAGAGCAUGUGCUCGGGAAACGUUCUUGAGCAAAGAGAUCAAAUAAUUGGUCAUAAUUGUCAGCCUUUUCUUCCUUUGCCCAUUUCCUCUUCAGGUCACAUGUUUUAUAAACAUAUUCCCCAUGACUCAGAUUAGCACUUUUCCUGAGGUUUCUGAAUUUCAACAUGUACGCAUUAGGGGUAAUUUGAAACCUUUGCAAUACAGUCUUUUCAUAUUCAUACUUCAUUAAAUACAUUCAAGCUUUGCAAUCGUGGGGGGGGGUGGGGACUUUGUCUUCUGGGACUCUAUACAAUUCACAAAUCUUUUGAAAGGUGGUAAAUAUUCUUUGAUGCAGUCCAAUUCUCUGUACAUGGGCCACAGUUUGUCCCAGCUAGGUGUCCCUUGGGGCGAGAGAGUAGCUGUGGGUUGUGAGAUCUAUGCAUGUCCUUCCAUUAUGUCCAGGUUAUACAGCCUCUCCUCCUCUUUUUCUCAGGCUUCUUUGUCUUUCCGCUCCAUGACUCUUUGGUGGGCAGCUGCUUCUGCUUCCAGGGCCUGCCAGUGUGCUGCUUCUUGCUCUUUGGCUCUUCUGUCCACUUCCCGUUUUUGGUAUUUAUGAUCUCUCUCUCGUUCUGCUUCCCAUUUUUGCUCCUUUUCCAAUUUAGCAGGCCCUAGCUUAGCUGUUGUUUCACUGUCAUUCAUUUUAAACUUCCUUUGCUCUAUUUCCCUUGCUCAAAAUAAACAGAAACUAAUAAAAUGAGUCUUUCUUUAACUAUUCCCAGCCUUAUCACUUAAAACUAUUCUGUUAGUGCUUGAAAUAUAAACCUCAGUCAAAGUAGGAAACGGUGUAUAAAUCCUGUCCGACUAGGCCGGUAUGACAUUUUGGGGUUCAAACCUGAUCAGUUAGGGUUUGUUACCUCCUGCCUUGCACCUCUGGGUGCCUUAAAUGCAAUGCAGCCAUGGCUCGCAGCCCUUACCCCCACAGGCAGCCUACAGGUCAUGGCCUGGCUUCCACUGCCCAGUUACUGUUUGCAGAGUGACCCCAACAGCCUCCCAAUCCUGAUUUUCCCCAAAACUGUCUCCCUGAAAUGUUCAGCCCUCUCUUCCAUGCAGAAGUAAAGUUCAUUGCUCCUUCAAAGAGACAAAACCAGCAGCUUGUUAUCUUGACUAGAGAUAACAAUCACUUCAGUUCAAUCAAAGCACUGGGUUGGUAUAGAUUAAAAAUAAAACAAGUUUAUUCAGUCAAUAAGAGAUUUUAUGUGAGUUCAAGUACAAGGGAUAAAGAUAGAAAGAGUUAUCUUUGUUUUUUGUAAGAAUAUGCUUUCUGAUAUACGAGGGCGUGCACAGGAAUUUAAAUCUGACUAUUUUUGGAGGAGCACGUUAAACACAUGCAUUAUACGCUUUAAAGCAUAUCAACAUGUGCACCUACAUCAUAUGCAUAAAACUAAACAGCAGUACACUCACCAUUUCAAUGAAAAUCCAUGCACCAUGGAGCCAUCUGAAUACAUGUAUCCAAAGCCUCUUCUGUGUUCACACUGUUGGAUAAGUUAGUCUCUACUGCAAGAAUUAACAGUUGCUGAAGGUGAGCUUCUGUCAAACUGCUGCAAAGUCUUCUAAGAACACGCUUUUUAGCACUAAAACAUCUUUCUCAAGUUGCAGUUGUAGUGUUGCCAAAAGCACCAAUAGGUCAAAUACAUCAGGAUACAAAAGUUCCAGGUCAUGAUCUUUACAGACCUUCGUAAGUUCCGGAAGAGAUACUGCACUCUCCGAUCCCUGAGCAUUUAAAAUAGGGUCAAGGUGGUGCACAAAUAAAUUGUACUGCAUUUCAGGAACUCUGCACUGAAAUUCUUCAUUUGGUUGCACAUGUGCUUCAUUUCCUUUUGGUAUAGUAACAGUUUUCAGUUUUUUUUGCAGUGAGAUAGGACACAGCUUUGAAUAUUACUGUAUUUUUCUGCUGUAUCGUCUGUCCAUUUCACUUAUUGCAGCAUCAAGUGCAGGGGAAAAGAAACCAACUUAUAUUUCUUUUCUAAAGAUUAAAAAUGGUAGCAUUCUGUAUGACUCCCAUAAAAAUGAUCCAGAGUUUUUGCUGGUCACCUUUUCCUGCAAGUUGGCAUUUGCAGAUUCAGUUCAGUAGCCCAAUGUUCAGCUUUUACAAAGUAUUCAUGGAAGUUUUCAUCCAUUCUCAGGUUGCGCAAGACUUUUAAACAACUCUCUACUGCACAGGCAAAAUCAAUGUUUUCCCACUGCAGGAAAGUGAUAGCAUAAUGCAUGCAGUUUAACGCAUCCAAAAAUACCAAAAGGCAGAUUAUGAAUUUGAAAUCGAGCUGUGCUUACAUGUGCUUACAUAUCAUAAGCCCCUUUGCUUUGCUGACACACUUAACUGUGGUGGCAUUCUGGAGAAUAUUGAGUAAGGUUUCUGAAAAUUAGAAAACUGCAUUUAUGACCUGCAAAGCUUGGCAGUGUGAAUGCCAGCGUGCCUCGUGAAGCGCCUGAUGAGAUCUCUCGCUACCGCCACAUUCAUUGCCACUGACACUUGAAGUCCCUUCUGUCUGUGUCAUGAUGUCCUUUUGUAUUUUUUUUAAAGGUGAUGCUGCGAUGAGUGAUGUGGAUGAAUGUAAACAGGUUCUGAACAAGUCCAAUAAAAUUCUUUGAAAGGG
Long non-coding RNA from Gopherus flavomarginatus (Mexican gopher tortoise), 7959 nucleotides. RefSeq lists it as uncharacterized. The transcript is spliced from 2 exons. The record is from RefSeq and is a predicted model, not a curated record. NCBI's taxonomy places the organism in Eukaryota, Metazoa, Chordata, Testudines, Testudinidae.